AAAACGACUCUAGGCAACGGAUAUCUCGGCUCUCGCAUCGAUGAAGAACGCAGAGAAAUGCGAUACUUGGUGUGAAUUGUAGAAUCUCGCGAACCAUCGAGUCUUUGAACGCAAGUUGCCCCUAAAGCCUUUCGGCCGAGGGCACGUCUACCUGGGUGUCACGC
Molecule: ribosomal RNA, 164 nt
Filed under: Jatropha integerrima
Lineage: Eukaryota; Viridiplantae; Streptophyta; Magnoliopsida; Malpighiales; Euphorbiaceae
Description: 5.8S ribosomal RNA
Rfam family: 5.8S ribosomal RNA
About the family: 5.8S ribosomal RNA (5.8S rRNA) is a component of the large subunit of the eukaryotic ribosome.
Source: RNAcentral